RNAcentral lists this ribosomal RNA (253 nucleotides) under uncultured bacterium. RNAcentral's name for it is "partial 16S ribosomal RNA". It matches the Rfam family "Bacterial small subunit ribosomal RNA", at positions 524 to 776 of the family's 1533-position model. The record is from RNAcentral.
UACGAAGGGGGCUAGCGUUGCUCGGAAUUACUGGGCGUAAAGCGCACGUAGGCGGCUCUUUAAGUCGGAGGUGAAAUCCUGGAGCUCAACUCCAGAACUGCCUUCGAUACUGAAGAGCUCGAGUCCGGGAGAGGUGAGUGGAACUGCGAGUGUAGAGGUGAAAUUCGUAGAUAUUCGCAGGAACACCAGUGGCGAAGGCGGCUCACUGGCCCGGUACUGACGCUGAGGUGCGAAAGCGUGGGGAGCAAACAGG